This 259-nucleotide long non-coding RNA is filed under the name Elaeis guineensis (African oil palm). Its description in RNAcentral is "long non-coding RNA (EGUI_LNC046760)". The record is from RNAcentral. Lineage: Eukaryota; Viridiplantae; Streptophyta; Magnoliopsida; Arecales; Arecaceae.
ACCCACUUCAAAAAAAUAUUUUUUAGCUAACAUUCUAACUUUGAAAGGCAAUUUUCUAUGUACACAUACCUAGUGCAAAUACCAUUAUGGUAAUAAAUAAAUUUGAGCUUCUUUGCAUAUAACCCUUCUAGACUACUUGUAUAUAAAGAUUUCUCUUCUAUACAUCACAUAUUAACAUUUGUCUUAUCCUAAAAAUUACCCAAAGGGAUCCCAAGCUAACUUUUCAUUUGCUAUAAUCAAGGAUUUAAAUACUGGUACC